UCAUGCAGGACCCUGAGUAUGAGAUAGCAGUGGUUUACUGUCAAUGUUUAGUGAUCAUUAAACAGUUUGAUUAAUGGUUUCAGGGUGAAGGCCCAUCUUCAAGGGAGGAGAAUGAGGAGACUAUGUUCAAGGAGGACCGAGUUAUUGGCUGCAGGACACAGAGAACCUUCUAGGACCUUCUCAGACUGGGACCACAGGUGACAAAAAUGCAGAAAAUGUAAAGUGUGCAAGCGUUACCUCCUCAAACAAAUGGAUGCACUGGAUGUAGACAUCCAAUACAAAAAACUGAAGAUGAGAAAGCUGGAACUGGAAAUCCAACAACUGGAGAAAGAUGGAUGUAGAACUGCUAUAACCAAGAC
This is a long non-coding RNA of Siniperca chuatsi (mandarin fish), 359 nucleotides long. RefSeq lists it as uncharacterized. The transcript has 3 exons. Lineage: Eukaryota; Metazoa; Chordata; Actinopteri; Centrarchiformes; Sinipercidae. The record is from RefSeq and is a predicted model, not a curated record.